UAGGGAAUCUUCCACAAUGGGCGAAAGUCUGAUGGAGCAACGCCGCGUGAGUGAAGAAGGGUUUCGGCUCGUAAAACACUGUUGUAAGAGAAGAAUGACAUUGAGAGUAACUGUUCAAUGUGUGACGGUAUCUUACCAGAAAGGAACGGCUAAAUACGUGCCAG
Molecule: ribosomal RNA, 164 nt
Filed under: uncultured bacterium
Lineage: Bacteria
Description: partial 16S rRNA
Rfam family: Bacterial small subunit ribosomal RNA
Source: RNAcentral